AACGAACGCUGGCGGCGCGCCUAAUACAUGCAAGUCGAGCGAGAAGGUGUAGCAAUACACUUGUAAAGCGGCGAACGGGUGAGGAAUGCAUGGGUAACCUACCCUCGAGUGGGGAAUAACUAGCCGAAAGGUUAGCUAAUACCGCAUACGUUUCCGGAACUUCGGUUUCGGAAAGAAAGCAAUACCGUGGGUAUUGCGCUCCUGGAUGGGCUCAUGUCCUAUCAGCUUGUUGGUGAGGUAAACGGCUCACCAAGGCUUCGACGGGUAGGCUGGUCUGAGAGGACGAUCAGCCACACUGGCACUGCGACACGGGCCAGACUCCUACGGAGGCAGCAGUAAGGAAUAUUGCGCAAUGGACGAAAGUCUGACGCAGCG
RNAcentral lists this ribosomal RNA (375 nucleotides) under uncultured bacterium. RNAcentral's name for it is "bacterial SSU rRNA". It matches the Rfam family "Bacterial small subunit ribosomal RNA", at positions 29 to 393 of the family's 1533-position model. The record is from RNAcentral.